This 199-nucleotide ribosomal RNA is filed under the name uncultured bacterium. RNAcentral's name for it is "partial 16S ribosomal RNA". It matches the Rfam family "Bacterial small subunit ribosomal RNA", at positions 328 to 539 of the family's 1533-position model. The record is from RNAcentral.
ACGCUCGACACCUACAGGAGGCAGCAGUGGGGAAUAUUGCACAAUGGGGGAAACCCUGAUGCAGCGACGCCGCGUGGAGGAAGAAGGUCUUCGGUAUUGUAAACUCCUGUUGUUGGGGAAAAAGAGGAUGGUACCCAACAAGGAAGUGACGGCUAACUACGUGCCAGCAGCUGCGGUAAUCUGAGCGGGCUGGCAAGGC